CUUAGAACAUAGAACAACAGGAAGGAGCCUUUCCACGCGAAUACAAGGACAGGAAGUGAGACCGAAGUGCACCAAAUUAUGACUCAUUGUUUUGUUUUGAUAUAGGUGUCAAACGUGAAGCUUUUAUCAAAUUCAUAUCAAAUUGUUAUUUUUAGGAUAUUUUUCGAGUUAAACUGCGUUGGAUUUUGUAGAGUUGAGUGAAAUUAAGUUGUGAAGUGAAUUCUGAACUAUUUUACCUAAAGAAAUUAUUAAAAUAAGAUAUUUUUGUGGUAAGGAACUUUUUCCAGAAAAUGGUCAGUUGUGUAGCUUGUGGCUAUUCAAAAACACCAAAGAAAAACAAUUCCGGUGUAACAUUUCACAGAUUUCCUUAGGAUGAAAGACGUAGAUUUAGAUGGGUGAGUUUUGUUAAUAAGCCUGGGUUUACUCCUAACAACAGGAGCUUAUUGUGCUCCAAGCACUUCAAGGAAGAAUGUUUCAACAGAUCUUCACAAUCUGUUAUUAGAUUAUUUCCCAAUGCAUUUCCAACUAUAGAAGCUCCCCGUGUGAAAUAU
Coccinella septempunctata (seven-spotted ladybird) is the source of this 551-nucleotide long non-coding RNA. RefSeq lists it as uncharacterized. The transcript has 2 exons. Lineage: Eukaryota; Metazoa; Arthropoda; Insecta; Coleoptera; Coccinellidae. The record is from RefSeq and is a predicted model, not a curated record.